ACUUUGGGGAGUUUGAUUGAUUGAUGUUCUGCUGAUACUGGGGUGAAGAUGUCGGUCAGGCGUUUGGCAGCGGCCGCUCUCUUAACACUCACAGUACUGACAUCAGUGAGAGCUCAAGUAAUGCCUCCAUCAGACUUGAGGUUUAAGAUUUUAAAUGAAAACACAGUGCAAAUGAUAUGGAAGCAUCCGCUGUCAAGGACCGAGGGCUUCAGAGUACAAGUGACAUCGGAUACAGAAGAGCCUGUUAAGGAAUUCACACUUCCUCCAACCUCGACCAAAACCUCCAUCAGAGAUUUGACCCCCGAUGUGGAUUAUGUUGUUACGAUAAUUUCGUAUUUUGGUUCAGAGGUCAGAUUAC
Long non-coding RNA from Rhinichthys klamathensis goyatoka, 358 nucleotides. RefSeq lists it as uncharacterized. The transcript has 4 exons. The record is from RefSeq and is a predicted model, not a curated record. NCBI's taxonomy places the organism in Eukaryota, Metazoa, Chordata, Actinopteri, Cypriniformes, Leuciscidae.